Long non-coding RNA from Drosophila ficusphila, 528 nucleotides. RefSeq lists it as uncharacterized. The record is from RefSeq and is a predicted model, not a curated record. The transcript has 2 exons. NCBI's taxonomy places the organism in Eukaryota, Metazoa, Arthropoda, Insecta, Diptera, Drosophilidae.
UUUGAACAAGCAACAAAAAUUCAAGGAGGCUGCGAUACGAAUUAAUAUAUUUAUAAAAUGUACAUCUUUAAAUAUACUACACAUAUGAAAUUUUAGCAGGAAUUGCUUGGCGAUGUCCUUUCCACUAUCCGUUGACGUUGCUGUUGUUGGCCUUCUUCCGGCAGAGGCGGUCCAAGAUGAAGGGCUCGCAUUAUUAGUGCGCAGCAUCCGCAAAAAAUAAGGCAAAGGCAGAUACCGCAGCAACAAAUACACAAGGUAAUCAUUAAGAUGGGAAGCAAAAUAAACGCUAUGCCUCUUAACAUUUUAAAAAAUGUAUUUUGAAGCUGGAAUUUCGACAACUGGAGUUGCAGAAAUCCCAGUGAAGCAAGAGGGAUUCUAAAAUAAAUGUUGUGUUAGCAAAGUUAGUUCAAUCUUGUUAAAUUGAUCUGAAGGGAUAUUUUAACAACAGAAUGUCAUGUUCUUGUAUUUUUAGAUGAAUUAAUUUUCAAAAAAGUUAAACCCUGUUAUAAAUUGACAAAUAAUUCGUGA